This 497-nucleotide ribosomal RNA is filed under the name uncultured bacterium. RNAcentral describes it as "partial 16S ribosomal RNA". It matches the Rfam family "Bacterial small subunit ribosomal RNA", at positions 28 to 507 of the family's 1533-position model. The record is from RNAcentral.
GAUGAACGCUGGCGGCGUGCCUAAUACAUGCCAGUCGAGCGAACGGACGAGAAGCUUGCUUUUCUGAUGUUAGCGGCGGACGGGUGAGUAACACGUGGAUAACCUACCUAUAAGACUGGGAUAACUUCGGGAAACCGGAGCUAAUACCGGAUAAUAUUUUGAACCGCAUGGUUCAAAAGUGAAAGACGGUCUUGCUGUCACUUAUAGAUGGAUCCGCGCUACAUUAGCUAGUUGGUAAGGUAACGGCUUACCAAGGCAACGAUGCAUAGCCGACCUGAGAGGGUGAUCGGCCACACUGGAACUGAGACACGGUCCAGACUCCUACGGGAGGCAGCAGUAGGGAAUCUUCCGCAAUGGGCGAAAGCCUGACGGAGCAACGCCGCGUGAGUGAUGAAGGUCUUCGGAUCGUAAAACUCUGUUAUUAGGGAAGAACAUAUGUGUAAGUAACUGUGCACAUCUUGACGGUACCUAAUCAGAAAGCCACGGCUAACUACGUG